RNAcentral lists this ribosomal RNA (497 nucleotides) under uncultured bacterium. Its description in RNAcentral is "partial 16S ribosomal RNA". It matches the Rfam family "Bacterial small subunit ribosomal RNA", at positions 28 to 507 of the family's 1533-position model. The record is from RNAcentral.
GAUGAACGCUGGCGGCGUGCCUAAUACAUGCAAGUCGAGCGAACGGACGAGAAGCUUGCUUCUCUGAUGUUAGCGGCGGACGGGUGAGUAACACGUGGAUAACCGACCUAUAAGACUGGGAUAACUUCGGGAAACCGGAACUAAUACCGGAUGAUAUUUUGAACCGCAUGGUUCAAAAGUGAGAGACGGUCUUGCUGUCACUUAUAGAUGGAUCCGCGCUGCAUUAGCUAGUUGGUAAUGUAACGGCUUACGAAGGCAACGAUGCAUAGCCGACCUCAGAGGGAGGACGGCCAGCCGAGCAGUGAGACAGGCUCCAGACACUUACGGGAGGCAGCAGUAGGGAAUCUUACGCAAUGGGGGAAAGCCUGACGGAGCAACGCCGCGGGAGUGAUGAAGGUGUUCGGAUCGUAAAACUCUGUUAUUAGGGAAGAACAUAUGUGUAAGUAACUGUGCACAUCUUGACGGUACCUAAUCAGAAAGCCACGGCUAACUACGUG